UACGAGAGGCCCAAACGUUAUUCGGAAUUACUGGGCUUAAAGAGUUCGUAGGCGGCAUUGCAAGUAGGGUGUGAAAGCCCUCGGCUCAACCGAGGAAUUGCGCUCUAAACUGCAGUGCUUGAGGAACCUAGAGGUGAGCAGAACAGAUGGUGGAGCGGUGAAAUGCGUUGAUAUCAUCUGGAAUACCGGAGGCGAAGGCGGCUCACUGGGAGUGUUCUGACGCUGAGGAACGAAAGCCAGGGUAGCGAACGGG
RNAcentral lists this ribosomal RNA (253 nucleotides) under uncultured bacterium. Its description in RNAcentral is "partial 16S ribosomal RNA". It matches the Rfam family "Bacterial small subunit ribosomal RNA", at positions 524 to 776 of the family's 1533-position model. The record is from RNAcentral.